RNAcentral lists this ribosomal RNA (253 nucleotides) under uncultured bacterium. RNAcentral describes it as "partial 16S ribosomal RNA". It matches the Rfam family "Bacterial small subunit ribosomal RNA", at positions 524 to 776 of the family's 1533-position model. The record is from RNAcentral.
UACGUAGGGUCCGAGCGUUGUCCGGAAUUACUGGGCGUAAAGGGCGCGUAGGCGGCUGUGCAAGUCAGAUGUGAAAGCCCUGGGCUCAACCCAGGAUGUGCAUUUGAUACUGCGCGGCUAGAGUGUCGGAGAGGAUGGUGGAAUUCCCAGUGUAGAGGUGAAAUUCGUAGAUAUUGGGAAGAACACCGGUGGCGAAGGCGACCAUCUGGACGACAACUGACGCUGAGGCGCGAAAGCGUGGGGAGCAAACAGG